GAGUUUGAUCAUGGCUCAGAUUGAACGCUGGCGGCAUGCCUUACACAUGCAAGUCGAACGGCAGCACGGGAGCUUGCUCCUGGUGGCGAGUGGCGAACGGGUGAGUAAUAUAUCGGAACGUACCUAGAGUGGGGGAUAACGCAGCGAAAGUUGCGCUAAUACCGCAUACGAUCUACGGAUGAAAGUGGGGGAUCGCAAGACCUCAUGCUCAUGGAGCGGCCGAUAUCUGAUUAGCUAGUUGGUGGGGUAAAGGCC
This 255-nucleotide ribosomal RNA is filed under the name uncultured microorganism. RNAcentral describes it as "partial 16S ribosomal RNA". It matches the Rfam family "Bacterial small subunit ribosomal RNA", at positions 9 to 265 of the family's 1533-position model. The record is from RNAcentral.